RNAcentral lists this ribosomal RNA (262 nucleotides) under uncultured bacterium. RNAcentral describes it as "partial 16S ribosomal RNA". It matches the Rfam family "Bacterial small subunit ribosomal RNA", at positions 524 to 784 of the family's 1533-position model. The record is from RNAcentral.
UACGGAGGGUGCAAGCGUUGUCCGGAAUCACUGGGCGUAAAGGGCGCGUAGGCGGCUCAUGAAGGCUGUGGUGAAAGUCCGGGGCUCAACCUCGGAUCGGCCGUGGCGACUCGUGGGCUGGAGCACUGUAGAGGCGGGUGGAAUUCCGGGUGUAGCGGUGGAAUGCGUAGAGAUCCGGAAGAACACCAGUGGCGAAGGCGGCCCGCCUGGGCAGUGGCUGACGCUGAGGCGCGACAGCGUGGGGAGCAAACAGGAUAUGAAA